Molecule: long non-coding RNA, 1104 nt
Organism: Esox lucius (northern pike)
Lineage: Eukaryota; Metazoa; Chordata; Actinopteri; Esociformes; Esocidae
Source: Ensembl
GUCGUCUCGAGGUAGUCCUUGUUCGCCAGGCAGAGGGCGUCGGGGUGGCCCCAGAAGGGGGCGUUGGGGUACGGGGCGCUGGGGAGGGAGCUGGGGUGUAACAGCUGUGGCUGGGUCUGUGGGUGCUGGGGUCCCGCCCGUCCUCCUGGCCCCCCGCAGUACCCUCUCCUGUCCAGCGGUGGCAGUGUCUUAUCCCCCUCGCUCCUCAUCAGGACGCCCUUGAACAAGCCGUUAGGGGUGCAGGUGGUAACCGGGCUCCGGGGGUCGGUCUCUGGGCUCUCCCCUCCCAGGAGCGGAUGUUGCAGUUCAUCCAGGCUCUCCAUCGGCAUCCCCGUCCGGUCUGUUAGCUGGCUAACGCAGCCGACGGCCUGGUCUGGUGGGUUGCCGAUGCAUCAACCGGUCAAUGCUACGGACCUCAGUGUUGCAGACAAAACAGAGCGUGCACGAUGACAGUCCUUUUGGAUUUAAGAGAAGGCGUCCGCCGCCUCGCUGGCUUCAGGAGCGUGACGAUAAUCCAUAUUAAAUCCAAUUCUUAAAUGUUUCUGCUAUUACAGGCCUUGUUCUCAAACCCCCCAGAGAUAAGCACGAAUCAUCUGUCCUCAGUCCUCAUCUGCGUUCAUUAGUGUUCUGUGGUUAUCCUCGGUUAUGCACUACUGUAAUAUUUUCUGCGGCGUUGGAGUGUGUUAUGUGGUGUUAAAAAGAUGUUCUGUGGUGUUAUAAGAUGUUCUGUAGUGUUACAGUAUAUUCUGUUCUGGGCUCUUUCACUUUCUCACAUCAGAUGUUAUAUUUUUCAGGGGUUGAAGACUGAAGGCCCCAUGGUUCACACGCAGGAGCUUGUGUCUCUUUUCAUGUAUAUGCUAAUGUUGCAGUGGCUCGUAUUACAUCCUGAUGAUAGGCUACCUAGGUUAGUGCCGGGACGGGAGGACCAGGGAGAUACUGGAACCAGGUUGUCAGCUCGAAGUCCUCCUCAGGGUUUCACUCUGUCUAGUGUAAUCAAACAUCAAUUCUUCAUUCUCUCAGAUCGGCAUUGCAGACAAUGAUGUGGACGUCUAUUGUCUUCCUGUGUAAAAAUAACCUAGAUGAAUAAAGAAUGGACUUGAAGAU